CCAUUGCAUUAAUAAUAUAAUUUUAAUACAAGUGUGUUCUGAUAUGUCUAAUAGACACUAAUGUAUAAAUCAAAAUGAAAGAUGAGUCUUGAACGAGCUCCAUCUUCCUUAAUCCUUGCAUCGGUACCUGUCUAUGAUGACCUGAGGAUACAAGUAAUUUUGAAAGAGAGUAUGAGCUUUGAAGCUGGUGAGAUCAUAAGUAUUUUAGUGUCUUAAUUUGUAUGUAAAUACUUAUAUGUAUUUGAAAUGUAAGUAUUUGUAUGUAUACGAAUUGUAAGUAUUGAAAAUGUAAAUGAACUGUAUGUAUGAAAAUGUUUGUAAAACAACUAUAAACGAUUGAAAAGUCCUAUAAAUCCCUAUGAUUCCUAUUAGUAACAAAAGGAGUCUUCUACCAAGACUUUAGCUGCUCUGAAUGUAGUCUUCUACCAAGACCUAACUGUUCUGAAUGUAGUCUUUUACUAAGACUUUACUGCUCUGAAUGUAGUCUUCUACCAAGACUUAACUGUAUUAGUAUUACCCUUUGGAACAAGGGCAACUAACAAUGUUAACUGAAGACAUCCGUAGAUGUACAUUUACCUCUGUUGCUAACAGCUGGGUAUAGGAAUAGUCAGUCCCAAAAAGUAUACUUGUAAUGGUAUCAACCGUUGACAUCCGUGGAUGUGCUUUUACCUCUGUAGCUAACAAAGAUUCUAAGAAUGGUCACUCCCGCAACGUAUCCUUUGGUACUAGGAUAUUAAAUCCAAUCUAUCUCGUCAAUUAUGUGAUUGAAUCACAAGAUAAAGAUAAGAAUUACGAUUAUAUACCCGAAUCUAUACAUAUAAAAUGUACUAGUAAUCCUGGUAAGUAUACUCAUGUAAAUGUGAUCAUGUGACCAUAUCUAUUGUAAUAGUAUGGUAAUGUACUGUAAUGUUCUAGUUGUGGUGUACCUUCUCUCUAUCUAGCAAGUAUAGUAAUGUAUUGUAAUGUUCUAGUUGUAGUGUACGUGCUCUCUAUAUAGCAAGUAUAGUAAUGUACUGUAAUGUUCUCGCUGUAGUGUAUGUGCUCUCUAUCUAGCAAGUAUAGUAAUGUACUAUAAUGUUCUAGUUGUAGUGUACAUGCUCUAUAUCUAGCAAGUAUAGUAAUGUACUAUAAUGUUCUAGCAAGUAUUGUCUCAUGAAUGAACUGACUCAUUGUAUAGUAUCGCGUUCUAGUAAUAGUUCUAGUAUCUUUCUAAACUACCCAUAUGGUAGUUUACUAGUAAUCUAACUGGGAUGUAUGAACAUGGAUGUAUACCCUUGCUACCCAAAGGCAUUGGAUGAAUUGGAAGGACCUUUUAUGACUAUAUAUGUUCACAUGAUAUAUAACUAAUAUUUAAACGACCUUCGGACGAGUACCCGAUAUCCUAUCAGACCACAUCCAAAUCGAGGAAAAGAAAACAAGGUGGAUAGCCUUCCUAAGCAUUUUAAACAUUACUUAUAUAACUAUACAUAUAGAGGCAUGCAAUUUAUAAUAUAAAAGCAUAAAAUAAGUUUUGUAAAACCUUUGAACAUAAUUAUUAUAUAAUAAAAGAUCAACUUGAUUUCAAUUUAUAAAACGUUAUGAAGGCAUGGGUUUGAUAAAAACAACUUUAGUAUAAGGAAACAUUUGUUUGAAUCACAAUUGUAAGUAAGUUUGAAAUAAAACAUACGGAGUAAAAUGAACAGUGUAAUAAGGAGUUUUAAAGACAUAAAGUGUUUAUGAAAAACAUUUGAAGUAAACUGUUUCAUAAAACGGCUAAUGAGUAGCCAACCAUUGGAAUGUUGCUUAUUAAUCACAUGUGAUUAAUAUAAUAACUAGCAUUAUUCUACUUGUAUCCCCCCCCAUAUAACAUUUGAAAAUUGUUAAAACAUUGAUUAAGGGGUAUGAACUCACCAGUAGUGAGUUGUUCUGAUGAAAAUGUUGGAUCAGUUGCUAAGUAUCAAGUGGUGACUUGAGUACACACGCGAAUCCUAUUUAGCAUAUAUUGGCACAUAUAUGAAUAUAAUUAGUGUUAUGAACAACUAAUUAAUGAAUUGGGACCACCUUAGGGACUAGUGAACACUUAUAUUGAAGUGUUACAACCAUAAAUGAUUGUACGAAGGGUUAAAAGGCUAAAUGAGGGAGUGUAUGGCCAAAAUACACACUAUAUGUGUGUGUGCGGCCAGGUGUGCGACCAGCGUGCUGCCAGCAAGUGUGUGUGGCCUGGUGUGCUGCCAAAAGCGUGUGGUGCCAAAAAAAUGGUGUUCUUGGUGUUCUUGGUGUUCUUGGUGAAAGAUGUUACCCUUCCGGAUGAUACUUGAGAGGAUUUUCGAGUCCUAGCUUUGCAAGAGUGUAAGAAAUGAUCAAAAGGACUAAGGAUAGUACUUAUAGGAGGGUCCGUGCGGUUGGAGGUGUGUGUGGUUGGCCUGUGUGCGGCUGGCUGGCCGCACACAGCAGGUUUGGUGUGUUCGGCCCGUUUUUCUAAUGCUACACCCAAUCUAAUCCAUCCUCCGACACGUAACUCAAAUAUACUAAGCUUUAAGCACUUUUAAGAACUCUUUUAGACCCAAAAGUUCAUUAUAAAAUAUCAAAAUGAAGCUAAAUUUAAUUAUAAUGACGAAUGUAAGUUAGAAAUUUCGGGUUAUCACAUCAUCCCCCUGUUAGAGGGAAUUUCGUCCCGAAAUUGUAAUUUAGGUAAGAAAGUAGGUACGAAUGAUCGAGUCAUGAGGUGGGGAACUUCCUAAUUGAUUUUUUCUCGCGCUACUAAGUGAAAUCGAGUCCUCGGUCGGUAUCCCAACGAACCUUCAGUAACGUGCGGCGACGUUGCUUCGUCCGCUUGACCUCUCGGUCGAGGGUCACCACAGUUCUAGUACGAAGGCGAGGAUCUUGUUAAUCUCGACCUCGUCGAGUGGCUUACGAGAGUCCUAACAGAAAGGUACUAUUUCAAGAUUGAGACGCGAAGGGUAAAAUGUACGUUACCGAGUUCGCGGAGUAGGUUUAGUCUGUGAGGUACAAGACCGAUUCUGGUAAGAAUCACGGAGGUCCUGACUAACUUGGAUUUAGCUUUCCACAUGAAGCGAAGCGCAUUAGGCCAUUCCUAGUAGUGAGUUUUCCUAAACAACUUGGUCUCUCACUUGGAAUCUCCAAGGUUUCUUUUUCUCGUUUAACUUCCCAGUCGAGGGCCACCCCUUGCUGUGUCAAAGUCGUAAAGGUUUCUCUGAUUUGCGAGGAGUUCUGGAUGAACUAUGACAGUAGGUCUGAAAGACCUAGAAUUUGGCGAAUGACUAUCGGCGUCUCUGAUGUCGACCAAUUCUCAACAGUUUUGACAAAUUGUAUGAGUACUCAAAAUUUCCCACAUCACUAACAGUGUGUCAUAGGAACCUCACUCUACAAUUUCAAAACUUGUGCUUAGAGAACUUCGCGAAAGUUCUUCCGAAGGUAAUGUUUCCAUGUAUUUUCUUCUCACUACGAGGAUUGAUAAGUAAGUCAUUACAUGGAGAAAUGACGAACAGAUUUAAGUAGGAAAGACGUAGCCUACUCAUUAGUUCAUGAAAACUAUGGGCGUAUUGGUCCUAUCCGAAGGGUAUCACUACGGACUCAAAGUGUCUGCAUCGAGUUCGGAAGAUAGUCUUCCGGACAUCGUACCCUAACACUCGAACUGGUGAUAUUCGGAUCUCAGACCCGUUUCAUUUAUGCGAGGCAGAGAUAACGAUUUCUAAGGAAAAUCUUGAUGGAGUCCUCGAUAUCCGAGGCACAUACGAUGCAAUCCGUCGAUCUCUGGAAGAGUAAGACUUGGGUUCUCCAGGGUGAGAAACCUAGUCUUCUAAUUCUCUUUCUGUGUAGUACGCUAAGUUUUCCAGGCUGUCCUUGUAUCUCUGUAGGUGUUUAGGCUGUAGGGAAAUAUGUUUACAGAAGUCGUACUGGGUUCUAAGUUUGUUCACAUGAUGAUGUGAUUACUCGUAGUCUUGAGCAGUUCUCCGUCCUGAAGUUCAUAUUAGAAUUAAUACAUGGUUUCACAAUCACAAUUUUGUGUAUACGAGUCGUAUAUAAUUAAUAUUGAAAAGGUAGUCGAAUAACUGAUUCUUCUUUAAGCUCACAUCCUUCUGAGGAAAAAGAAUUUAAAGUCGAAUCAUCAAUUCUAAACCUAUAGAAUCUUGAUUAUAUAUCACUCUUAUAUAUACAUUCCUAAGUGAUAGAUCGACCGUAUGAAUCCUUGGAUUUAACUUGACGUACUGCACGAGGGGUACUUCGGGGAUUUCUUCGGAAAAGGAAAUAACUAAGAGGUACUCCUGGCAUGAGUACUUCGGUGUUCUGAUAUGACGGUUUCGCUAAAAAGACAUUUACCGAUAAAGAGAUGUACGCAUGAAGCUGUUUUUUGUGAGGAAUCAAAUUGAAUCGAGUCGUAUGAUAAUGUCGGAAUCAUACUGAAACUUAAUGACAUUAGAUUUGAACAUAAGACAUUUACAGACAAAACACAACCGUGCAACCAUGAACAGAGUUAUAGUACUUUAGAUUUACUACAAGACCAUUGCUGCGAAUAAGGUAUAUUACAAAAGACAAGUAUACGCAGCAUGAGCAUCCUUAUACUGACAGGAUCUCACAAAAAGGUAAGACUCUAGUUGCACUAGUUCUGGAGAGUUUGUAAGUCUGUUACAACAACACGCCUAAAUUACAUCAACGAGGGUUCCGAAGUAGGCUCUCUGGUAGCUGUGAUCUUGAGAAACCUCCCAUCUGCGCCAGAUUUAUUUGCUAUAGGGCAAUCCUUCUUGAAGUGCCCUAUCUCACCGCAUUGGUGGCAUGAAUGGCUAGUACUUGCAUUGGUGACGAGAUUGCGGUGUUUAUCCAGUGUUAUGUGGACACGAGUGCCUUCCUCAUUACUCCACUUUGAAAAUUGCUUCCUAAAGCGUUCUGCCAGAGUUGCCACCGGUGGUUGUGGCAUGGCAAGUCUUUGGGCUCUCUUGUACUCCUUCAGGGCUUUACGAUAUCGUCUCUUCCUUUCGGUCUUUAGGCUUCGCAUGUACAUGACUGUUGCCACUUGUUGUUUUCCCGGUUUGGUACAACCAUCGGAACUCUCGGCCCCAUUGUCAGUCUUGCUUGUGUUGCCUGAGUUGAUGUGUGUAAGGAAAGUUGUCACAGCAGCUGCUACUGCAGCUUGUAAUGUAGCAGCGUCAAUAUGGAGGAUGGGGGUUUCGUUGGUCGGCUGAUCGUUUUUGGAUGGCGACAUGAUUCCGUAACACAAAAGACAAGGAUUUUGUGAGCGAUUCUGGUUCACCCUAGGUGUAGUUCGACUGUUAUGUAAAGAAUAGAAUUAUGUUUUCGAAAAUUUGACCUACAUCCCUAUGAUGCAGUCCUAGUACUGAGUGGAGGUGUGUUUAUGAAGGGGUUGACCUACAUCCCUAUGAUGCAGUCCUAGUAACGGGUGGAAGUAAGUUCGUAGAAUGAUCUCAAGACGUUUGUCGUUCAAGCCGAGGUAUCGUGGGUUGGUGAAUAACAAGAUCCAACCACUAAAAGAGACUUGGAAAUGUCUCCGGAGCUAAAUUACUAUAGUCUAAUGACUUGACUAAAGCAUGUCUGAGAUAGACUCAAAUCAAAGAAUGAUAAGAGUACUUGGAUAAAGAAUGACACAGAAGUUAGCCGACUGUCAAAAUCUUUGAUAUUCAUGACGUAAAAGUUCGGGAAAAUAACCUUGUAAAGGUCUUACAUCAUAUCCAGAGAAGAUAGUUCUUGACAGCAUAAGGACCUAACCUAAAGUACUUACAGUACAAGGUAAUUUCAUAGAAAAUGCCUCAUCGAGCAAAGACAGAAAACUAUUACUUUCUAACAAGGAAAGUAAGGUAAAGAAUCUACUACUGACGACGGUCGUCCCUCAGGUGAACUCUCAAUUCAGCCAGUUGACGUUCUACAUCAAGUAUGUGUCUUUCAUACACCCUCUGGCGUACUCGGCGUUCUAUGACUUCGGCUCGUGAUUCUGCCAGUGCGUGAAGUAGGGUUUCAUGGUUUCUCUCUGAUCUCUCGCGAGCAUCUUCUAGACGUAUGGUGCGGAGGGUAUGCAUUCUCGCAUCAGCGACAACUUCAGUAAUCUGAUGUAGGGUUGUCCUGCCUUGAAUCUCAUUUUGCGCCACUCUGCGGACAAAGAUUGUCAAGGUUCUGUCUACUGAGCCCCCAUUGCUUAGGUCAUAAAAGCUUUGGUCACCACUAAAUGGCAUGGGCUGAUCUUGUCCUUGGCUCCAUGUUUCCAAGCAUUCCACCCACUCAGGCGUCGGGCCAUGAAAAGCAGGACCAGGGUUAGGAAUUGGAAAGCGAGCUACUUGGGGUAGGUUCUCAACCUCUGUUUCGGAAUUAGAAUCGUCCGAAGGUCUUCAUCAUGGUGAUCAUUCAAAGGGAUUGGAUGAUCAUUCUNUGCGCCACUCUGCGGACAAAGAUUGUCAAGGUUCUGUCUACUGAGCCCCCAUUGCUUAGGUCAUAAAAGCUUUGGUCACCACUAAAUGGCAUGGGCUGAUCUUGUCCUUGGCUCCAUGUUUCCAAGCAUUCCACCCACUCAGGCGUCGGGCCAUGAAAAGCAGGACCAGGGUUAGGAAUUGGAAAGCGAGCUACUUGGGGUAGGUUCUCAACCUCUGUUUCGGAAUUAGAAUCGUCCGAAGGUCUUCAUCAUGGUGAUCAUUCAAAGGGAUUGGAUGAUCAUUCUUUGGUUCUUCUUCAAACCAACCAGCUAUGACUUCGUUCGGAAGAUACUAGUUGUCGUGGGGAUGGAGUCCAGCCAGUUAUAUGUAAUCGAAACAUGAUAGGCCUUCGAAUAAGUGACCUUAACUCCAAAUUCACACAGAAUAGGGGUAAAGUAAAAUUUUCACAGAUUCUAAGUCUAUAACAUCCUAAUUACAUAUAGUCUUAGUGUAUCCACUUAGCAACUAUCAACUUAAUAAUGAAGAUCCCAUUUUAGUUCUCAAGUAUAACGUACUUAUAGUAAAACCAAAUACUCCUAUAGUAUUUUAAAUUUAAUGUUAUGUUCUACUGUUCUCAUUGUGGUAGGGUUGGUAAGAUUUUAGCAUUGUUGCAACCACACAACUAUACUUAGGCACAUGCUAGUCAACCCUCGGANAGCUAUAUUUCCUAGUUUUGACCAUAUGUCUCUAAGCUCACUUGUCUUGCCCAACAACCAUAAUUCUUUUGUACUGUCCUAGUGACACUGAUUUUAGUAUGAAUGCAGGCAUGUAUACUUACUUAAAUAUUUUAUUAUUUAAAGUAUAAACUCUUGGUCAGAGUAUUUUUAAUCCCUUAUGUAUUUAUAGUUAGUAUAUCUUUUAUGGGUUGAUAUACUUAAUUCACUAUAAACAAUGCUCUGAUACCAAUCUGUCACACCCCAAAACCAAGAACGGCGGAAACGUUCUGGGGCGGAGGACGUCAUGUACAAUAUCACAACAAUGAAAAGUAGUAAACAAGCAACAACAUCAUCCAUUGCAUUAAUAAUAUAAUUUUAAUACAAGUGUAUUCUGAUAUGUAUAAUAGACACUAAUGAAUAAAUCAAAAUGAAAGAUGAGUCUUGAACGAGCUCCAUCUUCCUUAAUCCUUGCAUCGGUACCUGUCUAUGAUGACCUGAGGAUACAAGUAAUUUUGAAAGAGAGUAUCAGCUUUGAAGCUGGUGAGAUCAUAAGUAUUUUAGUGUCUUAAUUUGUAUGUAAAUACUUGUAUGUAUUUGAAAUGUAAGUAUUUGUAUGUAUACGAAUUGUAAGUAUUGAAAAUGUAAAUGAACUGUAUGCAUGAAAAUGUUUGUAAAACAACUGUAAAUGUUUGAAAAGUCCUAGAAAUCCCUAUGAUUCCUAUUAGUAACAAAAGGAGUCUUCUACCAAGACUUUAACUGCUCUGAAUGCAGUCUUCUACCAGGACCUAACUGUUCUGAAUGUAGUCUUC
RNAcentral lists this long non-coding RNA (7881 nucleotides) under Lactuca sativa (garden lettuce). RNAcentral's name for it is "long non-coding RNA (LSAT_LNC002573)". The record is from RNAcentral. Lineage: Eukaryota; Viridiplantae; Streptophyta; Magnoliopsida; Asterales; Asteraceae.